Molecule: ribosomal RNA, 887 nt
Filed under: uncultured Streptococcus sp.
Lineage: Bacteria; Bacillati; Bacillota; Bacilli; Lactobacillales; Streptococcaceae
Description: bacterial SSU rRNA
Rfam family: Bacterial small subunit ribosomal RNA
Source: RNAcentral
GACGAACGCUGGCGGCGUGCCUAAUACAUGCAAGUAGAACGCUGAAGGAGGAGCUUGCUUCUCUGGAUGAGUUGCGAACGGGUGAGUAACGCGUAGGUAACCUGCCUGGUAGCGGGGGAUAACUAUUGGAAACGAUAGCUAAUACCGCAUAAGAGUGGAUGUUGCAUGACAUUUGCUUAAAAGGUGCACUUGCAUCACUACCAGAUGGACCUGCGUUGUAUUAGCUAGUUGGUGGGGUAAGGGCUCACCAAGGCGACGAUACAUAGCCGACCUGAGAGGGUGAUCGGCCACACUGGGACUGAGACACGGCCCAGACUCCUACGGGAGGCAGCAGUAGGGAAUCUUCGGCAAUGGACGGAAGUCUGACCGAGCAACGCCGCGUGAGUGAAGAAGGUUUUCGGAUCGUAAAGCUCUGUUGUAAGAGAAGAACGAGUGUGAGAGUGGAAAGUUCACACUGUGACGGUAUCUUACCAGAAAGGGACGGCUAACUACGUGCCAGCAGCCGCGGUAAUACGUAGGUCCCGAGCGUUGUCCGGAUUUAUUGGGCGUAAAGCGAGCGCAGGCGGUUAGAUAAGUCUGAAGUUAAAGGCUGUGGCUUAACCAUAGUAGGCUUUGGAAACUGUUUAACUUGAGUGCAAGAGGGGAGAGUGGAAUUCCAUGUGUAGCGGUGAAAAUGCGUAGAUAUAUGGAGGAACACCGGUGGCGAAAGCGGCUCUCUGGCUUGUAACUGAUGCUGAGGCUCGAAAGCGUGGGAGUAAACAGGUUAGAUACCCGGGUAGUUCAAGGGCGAAUAUUCAAGUGAGAUUAAGACCUAUUGAUACGUCCACCUCGGGGGCGAAUAAGAUAAUAAAAAUUAUUGUCUUUGGUUAGGGUAAUUAUCUCGGUUA